This 150-nucleotide non-coding RNA is filed under the name Bacillus sp. (in: firmicutes). RNAcentral's name for it is "Bacillus sp. FMN sequence". It matches the Rfam family "FMN riboswitch aptamer (RFN element)". From Rfam's summary of the family: The RFN element is a highly conserved domain that is found frequently in the 5'-untranslated regions of prokaryotic mRNAs that encode for flavin mononucleotide (FMN) biosynthesis and transport proteins. This element is a metabolite-dependent riboswitch that directly binds FMN in the absence of proteins. The record is from RNAcentral. Lineage: Bacteria; Bacillati; Bacillota; Bacilli; Caryophanales; Bacillaceae. RNAcentral also lists the same sequence under 1 other name.
AUAUUCCUUCGGGGUCGGGUGCAAUUCCCAACCGGCGGUGAUGAAGUGAGCGAGUGCUUCUUAGUCCGUGACCCGGUUAACUUACGUUAAGCGGUGGAUCUGGUGAAACUCCAGGGCCGACAGUAAAAGUCUGGAUGGGAGAAGGAAAAA